RNAcentral lists this ribosomal RNA (373 nucleotides) under uncultured Desulfobulbus sp. RNAcentral's name for it is "bacterial SSU rRNA". It matches the Rfam family "Bacterial small subunit ribosomal RNA", at positions 1013 to 1381 of the family's 1533-position model. Lineage: Bacteria; Pseudomonadati; Thermodesulfobacteriota; Desulfobulbia; Desulfobulbales; Desulfobulbaceae. The record is from RNAcentral.
GCUUCCAUCUGGAAGAAUCUGGAGACAGGUGCUGCAUGGCUGUCGUCAGCUCGUGUCGUGAGAUGUUGGGUUAAGUCCCGCAACGAGCGCAACCCUUGCCUUUAGUUGCCAGCAGUUCGGCUGGGCACUCUAAAGGGACUGCCGGUGUUAAACCGGAGGAACGGUGGGGAUGACGUCAAGUCCUCAUGGCCUUUAUGACCAGGGCUACACACGUACUACAAUGGCCGAUACAAAGGGCAGCGACACUGCGAGGUGAAGCCAAUCCCGUAAAAUCGGUCUCAGUCCGGAUUGGAGUCUGCAACUCGACUCCAUGAAGUUGGAAUCGCUAGUAAUCGUGGAUCAGCAUGCCACGGUGAAUACGUUCCCGGGCCUC